GAUGAACGCUGGCGGCGUGCUUAACACAUGCAAGUCGAACGAACGACUAUUAACAGAACCUUUCGGGGCGAAGAAUAUAGAAGUUAGUGGCGGACGGGUGCGUAACGCGUGGGUAAUCUGCCUUUGUCAAAGGAAUAACUAUUCGAAAGAAUAGCUAAAACCGUAUAACAUAUUAAUAGGGCAUCCUAAUAAUAUCAAAACGAUAGUGGACAAAGAUGAGCCCGCGUCUGAUUAGCUAGUUGGUGAGAUAAAAGCCCACCAAGGCAACGAUCAGUAGCCGACCUGAGAGGGUGAACGGCCACAUCUGGAACUGAGACACGGUCCAAACUCCUACGGGAGGCAGCAGUGGGGAAUAUUGCACAAUGGGGGGAACCCUGAUGCAGCAACGCCGCGAGAGUGAAGAAGGCAUUCGUGUCGUAAAACUCUGUAGUAGGGGAAGAAAGAAAUGACAGUACCCUAAAAGAAAGCCCCGGCUAACUACGUGCCAGCAGCCGCGGUAAUACGUAGGGGGCAAGCGUUAUCCGGAAUAACUGGGCGUAAAGGGUGCGCAGGUGGUUUAACAAGUUAGUGGUGAAAGGCAUAGGCUCAACCAAUGUAAGCCAUUAAAACUGUUUAACUUGAGUGCAGGAGAGGAAAGUGGAAUUCCUAGUGUAGCGGUGAAAUGCGUAGAUAUUAGGAGGAAUACCAGUGGCGAAGGCGACUUUCUGGACUGCAGACUGACACUGAGGCACGAAAGCGUGGGGAGCAAACAGGAUUAGAUACCCUGGUAGUCCACGCCGUAAACGAUGAGUACUAGGUGUCGGGUGAAGAACUCGGUGCCGAAGUUAACACAUUAAGUACUCCGCCUGGGGAGUACGCUCGCAAGAGUAAAACUCAAAGGAAUCGACGGGGACCCGCACAAGCAGCGGAGCAUGUGGUUUAGUUCGAAGCAACGCGAAGAACCUUAGCUAAGCUUGACAUACCAAUGACAGCCUUUUAGUCGAGGACUUUUACCUGCGGGUAGACAAUGGAUACAGGUGGUGCAUGG
This 1027-nucleotide ribosomal RNA is filed under the name Filifactor alocis. RNAcentral describes it as "bacterial SSU rRNA". It matches the Rfam family "Bacterial small subunit ribosomal RNA", at positions 28 to 1048 of the family's 1533-position model. Lineage: Bacteria; Bacillati; Bacillota; Clostridia; Peptostreptococcales; Filifactoraceae. The record is from RNAcentral.